This 303-nucleotide long non-coding RNA is filed under the name Brassica rapa (field mustard). Its description in RNAcentral is "long non-coding RNA (BRAP_LNC006711)". The record is from RNAcentral. Lineage: Eukaryota; Viridiplantae; Streptophyta; Magnoliopsida; Brassicales; Brassicaceae.
CGUAAAUACAGAAAAAUUACAUUUUCACUCAGCAGAAGUCAAAAAACGCAUUGACAUGACGUCGAAAGCUAAGGACUCCAAGCCUGAGAUCUACGAACAUUUAUUCAUAAAAUCUAUUAUUCGUUCACGACCCUCAAUUCUUAAUUGGAAAGAACUACUAAUUCUAACUCGAUUGGACUAACAACUAACAGAUGAAAAUGAAACUAAUUGAAUUCAAAAGAGGAAACUACGUCCAAACCCGGCACGUAGCGCCGGAAUACCCCUAGUACCAAAUAAUCCAAGGAUAAGUCUCCCUGUCAUUCU